RNAcentral lists this ribosomal RNA (292 nucleotides) under Karlodinium veneficum. Its description in RNAcentral is "partial Bacterial large subunit ribosomal RNA". It matches the Rfam family "Bacterial large subunit ribosomal RNA", at positions 1124 to 1420 of the family's 2925-position model. The record is from RNAcentral. Lineage: Eukaryota; Dinophyceae; Gymnodiniales; Kareniaceae.
UAAAGAAAGCGUAAUAGCUCACUGGUCGAGUCGGCCUGCGCGGAAGAUAUAACGGGGCUAAGCGAUGUGCCGAAGCUGCGGAUGCGAUUUAUCGCAUGGUAGAGGAGCGUUCUGUAAGCCUGUGAAGGUGGAUUGUAAGGUCUGCUGGAGGUAUCAGAAGUGCGAAUGCUGACAUGAGUAACGACAAAGGGGGUGAAAAACCCCCUCGCCGGAAGACCAAGGUUUCCUGCCCCAUGCUAAUCAGGGCAGGGUUAGUCGGCCCCUAAGGUGAGGCUGAAAAGCGUAAUCGAUG